AUUGAACGCUGGCGGCAUGCCUUACACAUGCAAGUCGAACGGCAGCAUGGAGAGCUUGCUCUCUGAUGGCGGGUGGCGAACGGGUGAGUAAAGCAUCGGAACGUACCGUGUAGUGGGGGAUAACGUAGCGAAAGUUACGCUAAUACCGCAUACGCACUGAGAUGGAAAGCAGGGGAUCGCAAGACCUUGCGCUAUACGAGCGGCCGAUGUCAGAUUAGCUAGUUGGUAGGGUAAAGGCCUACCAAGGCGACGAUCUGUAGCGGGUCUGAGAGGAUGUUCCGCCACACUGGGACUGAGACACGGCCCAGACUCCUACGGGAGGCAGCAGUGGGGAAUUUUGGACAAUGGGGGCAACCCUGAUUCAGCCAUGCCGCGUGAGUGAAGAAGGCCUUCGGGUUGUAAAGCUCUUUCGGCCGGGAAGAAAUCGCACAGGCUAAUACUCUGUGUGGAUGACGGUACCGGCAUAAGAAGCACCGGCUAACUACGUGCCAGCCGCCGCGGUAA
Molecule: ribosomal RNA, 504 nt
Filed under: uncultured bacterium
Lineage: Bacteria
Description: partial 16S ribosomal RNA
Rfam family: Bacterial small subunit ribosomal RNA
Source: RNAcentral